GAUGAACGCUGGCGGUGUGUCUAAUACAUGCAAGUCGAGCGGUCCCGCUUGCGGGACAGCGGCAGACGGGUGAGUAACGCGUUGAUAUCUACCCCAGAGUGAGGGAUAACCCCGUGAAAGCGGGACUAAUACCGCAUAAUCUCGAAAGAGGAAAGCCUUCGGGCGCUUUGGGAAGGGUCUGCGUGGUAUCAGCUAGUUGGUGAGGUAAAAGCUCACCAAGGCUAUGACGCCUAACUGGUCUGAGAGGACGACCAGUCACAAGGGAACGUGAGACACGGUCCCUACUCCUACGGGAGGCAGCAGUCGAGAAUCUUCCGCAAUGGGCGAAAGCCUGACGGAGCGACACCGCGUGGGGGAUGAAGGCCUUCGGGUUGUAAACUCCUUUUCUGGGGGAAAAAGUUCUGAUGGUACCUCAGGAAUAAGCACCGCUAAC
Molecule: ribosomal RNA, 433 nt
Filed under: uncultured bacterium
Lineage: Bacteria
Description: bacterial SSU rRNA
Rfam family: Bacterial small subunit ribosomal RNA
Source: RNAcentral